This is a long non-coding RNA of Numida meleagris (helmeted guineafowl), 296 nucleotides long. RefSeq lists it as uncharacterized. The transcript has 3 exons. NCBI's taxonomy places the organism in Eukaryota, Metazoa, Chordata, Aves, Galliformes, Numididae. The record is from RefSeq and is a predicted model, not a curated record.
GGGAGUUGCUGGGAGUAGAAAUGGUGGGGAAGCAGGUAUGAUGUGAUGUUAAUUUGGUGUAGUCAGCAGGAUGUCCUCAGAGUUAGAAGGUCCAGAGGUUACCUCUCAGCUGUACACCAGGAUGUCUGUAAGACGGGAGAGUAUGUACCUCUGUGAACAACUGCUUUCAAGGAUGAAGUACAGGAAGAGCAGAAUAUCAUCGAAAAUCUGACGAACACCUCAAGAACUCACUAAGACUUGCAACCACUCCCAGUGAACCAGACUGAUGUCCUUGUUUUUCUGAAACUAAUACAAAU